ACAGGAUUAGAUCCCCUGUUAGUCCACGCCGUAAACGGUGUCAACUGGGAGGUUGUGCCCUUGGGGCGUGGGUUCCAGAGCUAACGCGUUAAGUCGACCGCCUGGGGAGUACGGCCGCAAGGUUACAACUCAAAUGAAUUGACGGGGGCCAGCACAAGCGGUGGAGCAUGUGGUUUAAUUCGAUGCAACGCGAAGAACCUUACCUACUAUUGACAUCCAGAGAACUUAGCAGAGAUGCUUUGGUGCCUUCGGGAACUCUGAGACAGGUGCUGCAUGGCUGUCGUCAGCUCGUGUUGUGAAAUGUUGGGCCAGCGGUUAGGCCGGGAACUCAAAGGAGACUGCCAGUGAUAAACUGGAGGAAGGUGGGGAUGACGUCAAGUCAUCAUGGCCCUUACGAGUAGGGCUACACACGUGCUACAAUGGCGCAUACAAAGAGAAGCGACCUCGCGAGAGCAAGCGGACCUCAUAAAGUGCGUCGUAGUCCGGAUUGGAGUCUGCAACUCGACUCCAUGAAGUCGGAAUCGCUAGUAAUCGUGGAUCAGAAUGCCACGGUGAAUACGUUCCCGGGCCUUGUACACACCGCCCGUCACACCAUGGGAGUGGGUUGCAAAAGAAGUAGGUAGCUUAACCUUCGGGAGGGCG
Molecule: ribosomal RNA, 642 nt
Filed under: Enterobacter cloacae complex sp. 4DZ3-17B2
Lineage: Bacteria; Pseudomonadati; Pseudomonadota; Gammaproteobacteria; Enterobacterales; Enterobacteriaceae
Description: bacterial SSU rRNA
Rfam family: Bacterial small subunit ribosomal RNA
Source: RNAcentral